This 513-nucleotide ribosomal RNA is filed under the name uncultured bacterium. Its description in RNAcentral is "partial 16S ribosomal RNA". It matches the Rfam family "Bacterial small subunit ribosomal RNA", at positions 28 to 523 of the family's 1533-position model. The record is from RNAcentral.
GACGAACGCUGGCGGCGUGCCUAAUACAUGCAAGUAGAACGCUGAAGAGAGGAGCUUGCUCUUCUUGGAUGAGUUGCGAACGGGUGAGUAACGCGUAGGUAACCUGCCUUGUAGCGGGGGCUAACUAUUGGAAAUGAUAGUUAAUACUGCAUAACAAUGGAUGACACAUGUCACUUAUUUGAAAGGGGCACUUGCUCCCAUACAAGAUGGACCUGCGUUGUAUUAGCUAGUAGGUGAGGUAACGGCUCACCUAGGCGACUAUACAUAGCCGACCUGAGAGGGUGAUCGGCCACACUGGGACUGAGACACGACCCAGACUCCUACGGGAGGCAGCAGUAGGGAAUCUUCGGCAAUGGGGGCAACCCUGACCGAGCAACGCCGCGUGAGUGAAGAAGGUUUUCGGAUCGUAAAGCUCUGUUGUAAGUCAAGAACGAGUGUGAGAGUGGAAAGUUCACACUGUGACGGUAGCUUACCAGAAAGGGACGGCUAACUACGUGCCAGCAGCCGCGGUAA